CUAGUACUCCCUCCGUCGAACAAAAGAUGUCUCAAGUUUGUCAAAAUUUGGAUGUAUCUAGACAUGGCUUAAUGUACAAAUGCAUUCAAAUUUAGUCAAAGUUGAGACAUCUUUUGUUGAACAGAGGAAGUUAGUG
Molecule: non-coding RNA, 136 nt
Organism: Brachypodium distachyon (stiff brome)
Lineage: Eukaryota; Viridiplantae; Streptophyta; Magnoliopsida; Poales; Poaceae
Source: Rfam